RNAcentral lists this ribosomal RNA (725 nucleotides) under Klebsiella planticola. RNAcentral describes it as "Raoultella planticola partial 16S rRNA". Lineage: Bacteria; Pseudomonadati; Pseudomonadota; Gammaproteobacteria; Enterobacterales; Enterobacteriaceae. The record is from RNAcentral.
GUCAGUCUUUGUCCAGGGGGCCGCCUUCGCCACCGGUAUUCCUCCAGAUCUCUACGCAUUUCACCGCUACACCUGGAAUUCUACCCCCCUCUACAAGACUCAAGCUUGCCAGUUUCAAAUGCAGUUCCCAGGUUGAGCCCGGGGAUUUCACAUCUGACUUAACAAACCGCCUGCGUGCGCUUUACGCCCAGUAAUUCCGAUUAACGCUUGCACCCUCCGUAUUACCGCGGCUGCUGGCACGGAGUUAGCCGGUGCUUCUUCUGCGAGUAACGUCAAUCGCUAAGGUUAUUAACCUUAACGCCUUCCUCCUCGCUGAAAGUACUUUACAACCCGAAGGCCUUCUUCAUACACGCGGCAUGGCUGCAUCAGGCUUGCGCCCAUUGUGCAAUAUUCCCCACUGCUGCCUCCCGUAGGAGUCUGGACCGUGUCUCAGUUCCAGUGUGGCUGGUCAUCCUCUCAGACCAGCUAGGGAUCGUCGCCUAGGUGAGCCAUUACCCCACCUACUAGCUAAUCCCAUCUGGGCACAUCUGAUGGCAUGAGGCCCGAAGGUCCCCCACUUUGGUCUUGCGACGUUAUGCGGUAUUAGCUACCGUUUCCAGUAGUUAUCCCCCUCCAUCAGGCAGUUUCCCAGACAUUACUCACCCGUCCGCCGCUCGUCACCCGAGAGCAAGCUCUCUGUGCUACCGCUCGACUUGCAUGUGUUAGGCCUGCCGCCAGCGUUCAAU